Molecule: long non-coding RNA, 8291 nt
Filed under: Salvia miltiorrhiza (redroot sage)
Lineage: Eukaryota; Viridiplantae; Streptophyta; Magnoliopsida; Lamiales; Lamiaceae
Description: long non-coding RNA (SMIL_LNC007741)
Source: RNAcentral
CUGGCCCAACAUUUUUCUUCCCUUCUAGCGCAUUGUUCAUCUUUUUAGGACAAUUAUGUGUAGUGUGCCCCGGUUCGUGGCAAAAGAAACAAACUCCUUUACCCCACAUGCACUCUCCAUAGUGAUAUUUUCCACAUUUCUGGCAUUGUGGUCUUGUCCCCGUUGUUCCUGGAUUAACGCCUCCACCAAACUUCGGCCUCUUAUCUUGGAAGUUUCCUCCGCCUUGAUUAUAGUUCUCCCACUUCCUUUUCAUAGGUUGAUUCGCUGGCUUUUGUGCAGGGAUGUUUGACCCAAGAGCAGUUGCCACCUCUUCGGCUCGCUUAACCAAAUCGCUAAAAUCUUCAAUUACAUGUGCAGCCAUAAUUCCCUUGAUGUCAUUUCUCAGUCCCUUUCUAAACCUAGCUAUCAUUUUGUCUUCUGUGUCAACUAGGUGUGGUGCAAAACGAGCCAACUCAUUAAAUUUUCUCUCGUACUCCUCUAUAGUCAUAUUUCCUUGUUUCAACUCAAAGAACUCGGUUUCCUUCUUUUCUCUGAAUGACAGGGGAAAGUAUUUAUCCAUUACUACUCCCUUGAAGAUUUUCCAAUUGAGAACAUUGCGAUCCUCUUCUCCCAACAGACGAUAGAAAUGUUUCCACCAUUGUCGAGCGUCCUCUUUAAGUUGAAAAACAGCACAUGAAACUUUCUGUUCCUCGGUACAGUUGAUGUGAGUGAAAAUCCGUUCAAGCUCUUCCAACCACUCUUCAGCUGCUAGCGGUCCAUCACGUCCAUUGAACCGUGGCGGAUUAUUGUUCCGAAAUCGCUCUACCGCUUGAUCUAUCGUGUUAGAGGUCUGGUUUAGGUCACGUUGUGUGGCCUGAGUUUGGGUUUGGUGCUGGACAAAACCCUGUAAAGCACUCAGAAAUUGACCCAUGAAGUCUCCUCCAUUAGUUGGAUGAGGUUGUUCUGCUUCUGCUUCGGAAUUGGUAUUUGAGUUCUCGGCGUGGUGGGAAUGUGCACGCGUAUUCCUCAUGGUUCUAUAAUCAAAGGCACUAUGACAUAAAUGAAAGAUUAUAAAACAAGGUUAUUCCUAAUUCGAGGACUAUGUUCAACAUGAAAAUUUUAAACUCAUCAAAACUCAAUAUCAUGCACUGUAAAAUUCCGAAAUAAAAUUCAUGGCUGCAAUAAUUUUCAACAUAAUAACUUGCAUACUGAACUUGAACUUUCUGAUAAUAACUUCAACUAUUGCAGCAAAAUUCAACAUAAAUUUCGGAAUAUAAACAGUUUAUACUCAUCCCCUUGAAAACUUUUAAAAUAACUUUUACCUUGAAGUCGGAGCGCGUAGUGGUCGAAUGGCUUCGUCACAAAUGACUUGAAAAUAUUUUAAGAAAAACAUUUUAUUUUGCAGAGUCUACAGGAAAGUAGACCUGCUCUGAUACCAUGCUGUAACACCCUAAUCUAAUUAAAGUGUUAAAUAUGAAUUUAAAUAAUUUUUGACAGCGAAAAUAUCAUAAAAUAAAGAUUUGGAUUUAUUUUCAAAUAAAUAAAUUUUUAAAUAAAAUAUUUGAAAUAACUUAAAAAGAAGGCCAGCCAUGAUAGGAAGCUAAUAUGAUAACACUAAACUCGAUAAGUUACACCAAAAUCUCAAGAGUAGUUUGAGACUUCGAAAACUGUACAAAGCAAAAGGUUAGGUGUAACUACAACAUUAUAUUUUCCAAAAAUAUUUACUUGACGCGCUCAUUCGAUCCUCUACGCGUCUCCAACCUUAGUUACCUGAAAAUGUUAAAUAUGGGAUGAGCAUAUGAAAUAUACUCAGUGUGGGAACAUGCAAUAAUUGUCCACGUUAAUAAAAUGGUCAACACAUAAGCACUGCACUGUAAUACUGAUAACUGAAAUUCGCACGGUGGCAUACCAAGGACUUUAAAGUCCUGGACCCAUUGAGUGGGCCCCUGGCGAAUAGGUUGCAACCCUAACUGUAACAUGAAAUCGCAUUGUGGCAUACCAAGGACGGUGAAGUCCUGGACCCAUUGAGCGGGCCCCUAGCGAUAUAACUGAAUUUACAACACAUAUGGCAAACACAUAAUAUUAAAAUGGACAAAAAUUACCACGGCAUGUACUGAAUAAAUCCCACACCUGUAACUUGAACUUGAAAAUUACUGCUAGAAAUGUAAAGUUCACGUUCCUAGUCGCGCCGCACCUAGUCAGAUAAAUUCAAAUAGUAACAUAAGGGCCUAAUUGAACUUUACAAAAUACCUUAAUAUAACUAAACUUGAGAAAACUAAUUUAUAAAAGUCUUUUCAAUAAAAUUUGAACUGAAAAAAAAUGAUUAAUUAAAUAAAUUAUAAUUGCUACUUAGAAGAGUAAUUAAAAUAAAAACCCAAUUGAUUAUUAUAAUUAAGGCCCAACCACUUAAUAAACUGAGCCCAAUUAAUUAAAACUAACCUAAGCCCAAGCCCCAAGCCCACUAUCAACCUCUAAUUUAAACUCACACCCAACUCCACUCCACACAUUCACACGCAGCUCACUCCCUCUCUCCCUUCCUCCCUCGGCCUUCUUCCUCUCGGCCUCUUGCCGCCGCACCUCCGGACGGCAGCGCCGUCAGCGCAGACCGGCGGCUCCGCCGCCUCUCCCUCUUCUUCCUAUCUCCCUCUUCCCUCACUCUCACUCCCUCUGUCCCUCUCCUCACCGCGUCUCCCCCUUCUCCGGCGACCCUCGCCGUCUGCCAGCACCUCCUCCUGGCCGUCAGCAGCGGCACCCUUGUCGCCGCCGUGUCGACAGCACAAGCCGGUCAGGCCGCCUUCUCCCUCUUCCUGAAAAGAGACGCACAGCCGAGACCAUAGCGCCGCCGCCCUGCUCCUUCCGCCACCACCCCCUGCUUCCUUCCGCCGGCCGCCAUGGCGCGCAGCGCCGGCGGUACUGCUGCUCAACCACCCCUCCCCCUGUUCUAAGCCACAACCCCCUUUCCAGUUCAUUCUUUCUAUUUUCCUUUUCUUCUUGUAAAGCAGUGAAUAUGCAUGUUUGAAUUAGAAAAAAAAUAAGAACUUUUGUGGGUGUUUGGUUUUGUGCAGAGAUGAACAACAGUAAAUGAAAUAACUUUGUAAAAUCAAUUAAAAUUUACCAGCUUGGAUUCUGUAAUGAGAGAUGGAAAUGGGUUUGUAUGCUGUAGGCGAAACAGACGAGGAAAAGGCGAAUUGGGGGACGAUGAUUUGAGGUUAAAUAGAGCUGCAAGAUUAAGUUUUUACCACAAAAAUGAAACGUGAGCUGCUUGUUCACGUAAGAAAAUUUGUGGAUGAUAAAGGAACCAAAAUUGUGGUUGAGAAAACUGGACGUGCUCCCCAAGCUGAAAAUGGAAAUGAGUGGGCUCUUAAUGUUGAAAGUAAAUUUUGAGAUAAGGCCCAAUAGAGAAAUUUGUAAUAUUCAAUUAUGGCCCAACUUUGAGCAUAAAAAUUUCAUUUGUUAAGUUAAUAAUCUGCAAUCUAAAAUUAUUUAUCUAACUAGGGGCGCGACUAUAUAAUUCACGAACUUGCUAUAUAAAUAUUCUUUUCAUGAUUUAAAAAUUAGUUAAAAUAUAAAUAAUGAAAUCAAACAAAUAUCCAGAUAAUCAAAUAAUUAAAUGGGUUUCGGGCUGUCACACAACUCCUACUUAAUCCUACUUCUACAUGCUAUUUUGUGGGAAUAACCCAUACUAAUAAUCCGGCCUCCCCCCUCGGAUAACUUUAAUACUGCGAAGUUGGAUAAAAAUUUUGCUACCCUUCCUCACGCAUAUCGAUGCAAAUGCUCAAGUAAUGGUGGACACACAUGAUAUUUUUAAAAUUAUAUGAGGAUAGUUUUGGUAUUAGAUAAUAUAAUCCAACAUAAUCCUAUGGAUAUCAAACACAAUAUAAGAUUAAGUAGCCAUGAUAUCAAACACCCAUGAAAUAAUAUAAAUCCACACUAAUCCACACUAAUUUCUCAAGAUAAUUUUAAUCCUAAUCAAUCCUAAACUGCAAAUCAAACGGCCCCUAACUUUCUUAGCAACCUUUACCUUAAAAAUUGUUUACAAUUUGAUUUUAGUGUCAAUGCACAAAUAAUAGGCAUUUACUUGUAAUAUUGUUUUAUUACAAUUUUAAUGUGUCACGUUCGAAGUAGAAGUAAAGAGUGAUCAUCGGUGCAUAAGGCACGGACAAAAAGUGGCUAUUGUUAAUGUUUUGAAGCAGAGGGGUGCAUGAACGAACCGACAUAUACCAGAAAGAGAGGGAUUCGAAGAAUAUACAGGUAUGAGACUGCAUAUUUGUGAAGAACUUAAAUAAUUUGAUAGAUGUUACUUAUAUCAACAAGAUGCAUCUUUUUUUCUAAUGACCACGUGAAAGAAACUCCAUGGUUAAGCAUCACUACUACAAAAACGCUCAUACAUAACGGAUAAAAUCCGUUAUCUAUGAGACCAAAAAACCGAUAAGUAUAGUGGUGAUAUCUAUGAUACUGUCAUACAUAACGGUAAAAAAACCGUUAUGUAUAGUCGUAUAGAUAACGGUAUCUGCGCUCAUACAUAACGGUUAAUAUCCGUUAUCUUUACAAGUGAUACAUAACGGUUCUUACCGUUAUGUAUUAUUGUUUUUACCGUUAUGUAUUAGAUAUAUAUAUUAUUUUUUUUCCUAUCAUAGUUAACUAGUUUUUUGUCACUUUUUAUUAACGGUUUUAACCGUUAUCUUUGAUAGAAAUACAUAACGAUUUUUUGCAUUUUUUAUAACAGUUUUUUACACUUUUUAUAACUGUAAUAUAUAUAUUUUUAUUUUCCUAUUAUUUAUCUAAAAAUUAAAUUAAUAAUUUUAAAACAACAAAUGACAUUGCCAUCGAUAACAUAUAUUAUAUAACAUCCGAAAUAUUCAUACAUUAUCAUCCAAAUAUAAUGAAAACAACACAAAUAUUCUAGUUAGCUAUAUGAUUAAUUAAAAAAUAUUACAAAUGCGCGCAACUUGCUAGACAUUUGAAACGACGUUCUCUGCUUCAGCCUUUCUCUUUUUGUAGUAGUCCUCAUAGCUCAUCGACUCCCAUCUACUUGAUCCGCCAAGAUGAUAAACUCAAUUACACUAAUGAGCUGGAGAAUUAAAAAAAUCCGACAACAUGUGAGUUAUAUCAAAUAUUGAUGCAUAGUAAUAUAACAGAAUGCAGAAUCUAAAUCAAAUUUGAUAGAUAUAUAAAUAUGAUGAAUGAUUUUCUCAAAAGCAAGACAUUGAUUUGGAUUCAAUAUUUUGGUAAAAGGUUUUACAGAAAACACAUAAGUAAAUCUUCAAGAUCUCAAAUAUUCUAUCUAUAUUGUAAAAUGAAAAGAAGAUUACCCUCACCAACACGAGCGAGUUCACCUGCAAAACAUAGCCAACCCGAGCUUACUUAAAUAAAAGAAUAUGAAAGAUAUUAACAACCUAAAUCUUUCUAUAACUACAUAGGUAGUGAUUCUGUAUUCUACAGCAAUACUCUUCAUUUUCAUAAAGCAGAUCCAUAACAUCUAUACAAGCUUCAAACUUCACAUGCUCCCCAACUUGGGCAACUGCCCUAAGUUAACCUAAAAAAUAAAAUUCCCCAAUUAGAAUUUACACAUUAGUUUAGAAAGCAGUUUCAAACUGAAGGGGCAGAAAGAACUCCUUGUUGGUCACGAAGCUUACUUGAAUUGAACAAGAAGCUCUUCAACUGAAGCAAAAGCAAUUUCGACAUGCCAAUCCCAAAUUGCAGAACCUUAAGAACUCGAUUACUUUACCAAACAGGAAAGUGAUCCAGAGAACAAAAACAAGUCAAAUAGUAUUAGAAAGAAAUAGCACAUCAAACAAUACCUGCAUUAGCACUAUCUCCUGCAGAUUUCUUGUUAGCCAUCAUGCUNUAGGUGCCUUCCAAUUACUUACAGCUUCAACCUUAGCUGGGUCCACCUCAAUUCCAUUUCCAGUCACCACGUGACCAAGAAAAACUACUCGGUCUAGCCAAAAUUCGCAUUUCUUAAAUUUGGCAUAAAGUUUUUCACUCCUCAAUGUUUCCAAGACGAUCUUAAGGUGCUCUUCAUGUUGUGCAUUAUCUCUUGAGUAUAUCAAGAUGUCGUCGAUGAAAACUAUGACGAACUUGUCCAAAUAUGAGUGAAAAACACGAUUCAUCAUGUCCAUAAAUACCGCUGGAGCAUUGGUUAGACCGAAUGGCAUAACUACAAACUCAUAAUGACCGUAUCUUGUCCGAAAAGCUGUUUUCGGUACAUCGCUACCCUUUAUCUUGAGUUGGUGGUAGCCCGACCUCAGAUCAAUUUUUGAAAACACCUUUGCACCCUUCAAUUGGUCGAACAAAUCUUCUAUCCUUGGUAGAGGAUACUUGUUCUUGAUGGUAAGUCGAUUAAGCUCACGGUAGUCGAUACACAUACGCAUUGUUCCAUCUUUCUUCUUGACAAACAAAACAGGCGCUCCCCAGGGUGAUACACUUGGCCGUAUGAAUCCUAUGUCCAAAAGCUCUUGUAGUUGUGUUUUCAAUUCCUCCAAUUCCUUUGGUGCCAUCCUAUAUGGUGCUUUUGAAACGGGUGCUGCUCCAGGCACUAAGUCGAUCGCGAACUCCACUUGCCUGUCUGGUGGUAUUCCAGGUAAAUUCUCGGGAAAAACAUCGGAGUAAUCUCGUACUACUGGCACACUUUCGAGAGUAAGUUCUCCAUCUUCUUUGCCUACAAUGCUUACGAGAUAAGCCUCGCCAAAGCCUUUGUUCAAAAUCUUUAUUGCUUUCAUCGCAGAUAUCACCAUAGGCAUUUUUCCUAACUUUGAUCCUUGAAAUGAAAAUUCUUUCUUUCCUGGUACGUUGAAAGCAACUUCCCUCUCGUGACACUUAAUUGUUGCAAAGUUUCGACUUAGCCAGUCCAUUCCUAAAAUCACAUCGAAGUCAUGGAUUUCUAUGAGGUAUAAAUCAGCUUCAAGCUUUCUAUUUCUAAAGUUCAAGGGAAUUCUCCGAGCAAUCCUAUUCGUCUUAAUGCAUUCUCCAGAAGGGACACUUAUGUUCAAGGCUAAGUUUUCUACUUCACAAGGGAUAUGAUUCUUUUGACAAAACUUAGCAGAAAUGAACGAGUGCGAAGCUCCAGAAUCAAAUAGAACAACUGCUGGUGUUCCAGAUAUGAGUAACGUACCAGUCAUUGUGUCAUCGUCCUCUGCUUCUUCCUGAUCAGCUAAAGCGAAGAAUCGAGCAUUUCCUUUCUUUUCUGGCUCUUUGCCUCCUCUUUUGUCUGGCCCAACAUUUUUCUUCCCUUCUAGCGCAUUGUUCAUCUUUUUAGGACAAUUAUGUGUAGUGUGCCCCGGUUCGUGGCAAAAGAAACAAACUCCUUUACCCCACAUGCACUCUCCAUAGUGAUAUUUUCCACAUUUCUGGCAUUGUGGUCUUGUCCCCGUUGUUCCUGGAUUAACGCCUCCACCAAACUUCGGCCUCUUAUCUUGGAAGUUUCCUCCGCCUUGAUUAUAGUUCUCCCACUUCCUUUUCAUAGGUUGAUUCGCUGGCUUUUGUGCAGGGAUGUUUGACCCAAGAGCAGUUGCCACCUCUUCGGCUCGCUUAACCAAAUCGCUAAAAUCUUCAAUUACAUGUGCAGCCAUAAUUCCCUUGAUGUCAGUUCUCAGUCCCUUUCUGAACCUAGCUAUCAUUUUGUCUUCUGUGUCAACUAGGUGUGGUGCAAAACGAGCCAACUCAUUAAAUUUCCUCUCGUACUCCUCUAUAGUCAUAUUUCCUUGUUUCAACUCAAAGAACUCGGUUUCCUUCUUUUCUCUGAAUGACAGGGGAAAGUAUUUAUCCAUUACUACUCCCUUGAAGAUUUUCCAAUUGAGAACAUUGCGAUCCUCUUCUCCCAACAGACGAUAGAAAUGUUUCCACCAUUGUCGAGCGUCCUCUUUGAGUUGAAAAACAGCACAUGAAACUUUCUGUUCCUCGGUACAGUUGAUGUGAGUGAAAAUCCGUUCAAGCUCUUCCAACCACUCUUCAGCUGCUAGCGGUCCAUCACGUCCAUUGAAUCGUGGCGGAUUAUAAUUCCGAAAUCGCUCUACCGCUUGAUCCAUUGUGUUAGAGGUCUGGUUUAGGUCUCGUUGCGUAGCCUGAGUUUGGGUUUGCUGUUGGACAAAACCUUGUAAGGCGCUCAGAAAUUGACUCAUGAAGUCUCCUCCAUUAGUUGGAUGAGGUUGUCCAGCUUCUGCUUCGGAAUUUGUAUUUGAGUUCUCGGCGUGGUGGGAAUGUGCACGCGUAUUCCUCAUGGUUCUAUAUUCAGAGGCACUAUCACAUAAAUAAGGGAUUAUAAAACAAGACUUUUCUAGGAAAAUGCUAGGUUAUUCCUAAUUCGAGGACUA